UACGGGGGGUGCGAACGUUGUUCGGAAUCACUGGGCGUAAAGGGCUCGUAGGCGGCCAACUAAGUCAGACGUGAAAUCCCUCGGCUUAACCGGGGAACUGCAUCUGAUACUGGAUGGCUUGAGUUCGGGAGAGGGAUGUGGAAUUCCAGGUGUAGCGGUGAAAUGCGUAGAUAUCUGGAGGAACACCGGUGGCGAAGGCGGCAUCCUGGACCGGUAUUGACGCUGAGGCGCGAAAGCUAGGGGAGCAAACGGG
This 253-nucleotide ribosomal RNA is filed under the name uncultured bacterium. RNAcentral describes it as "partial 16S ribosomal RNA". It matches the Rfam family "Bacterial small subunit ribosomal RNA", at positions 524 to 776 of the family's 1533-position model. The record is from RNAcentral.